UCCAGGCGCCCGCCACAACGCCCCGCUAACUGCUGCUAUCUUUUCAUAGAUAGAGGCCAAGGAUGCGGCUAAAUGUCUUGUAAUGCGCAGGACAGCAGCCUGCAACCGUCCAUUCAUUAGCUGGCUGGAACUGUCCAUCAUGAUCAUGCAGAGAAAACUAGAUUCCAACCUAAUUCAUCAUCUGUGUCAAUUUGAGGACAAAUAUGUCUUUCUUACUCAUCAGGAAGCCCAAGGUAAAGCUGGUAGGAAGUUCACGGACUGAGGAGGGAGAUCCAGAGUUGAGUUAAUUCUGUGCAUUUACACUGCUGCGGGGCGACUUCCACUUCUGCGGGAGCAGAAAAGUUAUGAAUGGUGCUCUUCCCAUCUCCUCCGCUCCUCCCACCUCCGCCUCGCCAGGGAAGCAGCUGUUUUCCAUUACAAAACAAGCUGACAAGGUGCUGGCUGGAGCAGAG
This is a long non-coding RNA of Nycticebus coucang (slow loris), 452 nucleotides long. RefSeq lists it as uncharacterized. The record is from RefSeq and is a predicted model, not a curated record. The transcript has 3 exons. Lineage: Eukaryota; Metazoa; Chordata; Mammalia; Primates; Lorisidae.